Non-coding RNA from Malus domestica (apple), 782 nucleotides. Lineage: Eukaryota; Viridiplantae; Streptophyta; Magnoliopsida; Rosales; Rosaceae. The record is from RefSeq and is a predicted model, not a curated record.
UACAACCUCACUAUCCCUCUCCUUUUUUUCUUGAACAUUCUCUCGUCCGUACACCUGAGACCUCCAACUCUCUAACACCUCCAAAACUUCACGGAUCGAACACGAGCUUCAUGUCAUCAUGUUUUCCGUGGUCUCUCGAGUAUAGUGACACCUUUGGAACGAAGAACAGUUCAUGGGAACCCGAGAACUUAGGAGCUCUGGUGGGGUACUCUGUUUUCCCAACGUGAUCGUCGAGGUUUUUCUUGGUUUUGAGACUCAAAAAGUUUCCAGCGACGUAGCGGCGGAUUCUGGCAAACCACCAGAGAAGACAAAGCAUAUUCUGUCAACUUUGAUAGAAUGUUAUUAAUGGCGUCAGGUGAGACGUUUCCGAAGGAUAAGUGCAGUUAGGCAAGACUCGGGGGUUACGACCCAGCUACAUACCAGUUCUAGAUAGAAGUUCUUACUGGUGGCUCACGAGGACUCCACGGCGGUUCUGACAGACAUCCAUCAGUGUAGGGUUUCUUUUAUGAUCUGUAUAUUUAGUAAUUAGACUUCUGGACCGCAUUCUGAUACCUACACUCUGGUUGUGUUUGUAUUUACACUCUAAACACUUUCUCUCGUACUUAUAUGCUAGUCUAGUGUAAAUUAGUUAGUUGGUUUUUGUUUACCCACAUUUUUAUAUAUCAUUCACUUCCGCAUAGCGCACAUGGCUACGUCACCUUCACGUGACGGCCAGCCUGACUCGAUUGGGGUCGGGGUGUGUCAUAAAUCUGUAUUGAUCUAUUUCAAAAUAUGAUAAAAGA